AGGGAAUCUUCCGCAAUGGACGAAAGUCUGACGGAGCAACGCCGCGUGAGUGAUGAAGGUUUUCGGAUCGUAAAACUCUGUUGUUAGGGAAGAACAAGUAUCGUUCGAAUAGGGCGGUACCUUGACGGUACCUAACCAGAAAGCCACGGCUAACUACGUGCCAGCAGCCGCGGUAAUACGUAGGUGGCAAGCGUUGUCCGGAAUUAUUGGGCGUAAAGCGCGCGCAGGCGGUUUCUUAAGUCUGAUGUGAAAGCCCACGGCUCAACCGUGGAGGGUCAUUGGAAACUGGGAGACGUGAGUGCAGAAGAGGAGAGUGGAAUUCCACGUGUAGCGGUGAAAUGCGUAGAGAUGUGGAGGAACACCAGUGGCGAAGGCGACUCUCUGGUCUGUAACUGACGCUGAGGCGCGAAAGCGUGGGGAGCGAAC
RNAcentral lists this ribosomal RNA (426 nucleotides) under uncultured bacterium. Its description in RNAcentral is "bacterial SSU rRNA". It matches the Rfam family "Bacterial small subunit ribosomal RNA", at positions 356 to 773 of the family's 1533-position model. The record is from RNAcentral.